This 253-nucleotide ribosomal RNA is filed under the name uncultured bacterium. RNAcentral's name for it is "partial 16S ribosomal RNA". It matches the Rfam family "Bacterial small subunit ribosomal RNA", at positions 524 to 776 of the family's 1533-position model. The record is from RNAcentral.
UACGUAGGGUGCGAGCGUUGUCCGGAAUUAUUGGGCGUAAAGAGCUUGUAGGCGGUGUGUCGCGUCUGCUGUGAAAACUCGGGGCUCAACCCUGAGCUUGCAGUGGGUACGGGCAUACUAGAGUGUGGUAGGGGAGACUGGAAUUCCUGGUGUAGCGGUGGAAUGCGCAGAUAUCAGGAGGAACACCGAUGGCGAAGGCAGGUCUCUGGGCCAUAACUGACGCUGAGAAGCGAAAGCAUGGGGAGCGAACAGG